This is an RNA transcript of Selaginella moellendorffii, 1709 nucleotides long. It is a transcript of the gene named glutathione S-transferase U19, with no coding region annotated. NCBI's taxonomy places the organism in Eukaryota, Viridiplantae, Streptophyta, Lycopodiopsida, Selaginellales, Selaginellaceae. The record is from RefSeq and is a predicted model, not a curated record. The transcript has 3 exons.
CCGGGUUAAAAACUUAAGUGUUCUACCGACAUUCACGAAGAUCUCUUCUCGAAUAUCUCUUCCCAGUCAAUCGUAGUUAUGUUCUGGAACUCUCCUCGCUCCCCGUGGAUCACACGGACUAUAUAAAGCGCGACUUCAACAAACCUUUCUCCAGCCUCUCGCAUUUCCAGAUCUUUCUUCUAGAUUUCCAUUUCCAAUGGCUUCUAGUGAUCAAGAUGUAACACUGCUCAGCUCUUGGGCCAGCCCCUUCUCGAUGCGAGCCAAGCUUGCACUGUUGCUCAAGGGCAUCGAGCACGAAGAUCUCCCCCAGGAUUUGGGCAACAAGAGCAAGAUCCUGCUCGAGUCCAAUCCAGUUCACAAGAAGGUCCCGGUUCUCAUCCACAAGGGCAAGCCCAUCGCAGAGUCGGCCAUCAUCGUCCACUACAUCGACGAGGUUUGGCCUGGAACAUCGCCACUCUUGCCGAAAGACGCAUUCCUCCGCGCAGAGCACCGCUUUUGGACCGAUUUCAUCGACAAGAAGCUGCUGGACUGCUUGAUGCGUUUCGUGCGCGGGAACGACAAAGAUGCCGCAAACGAGGAAUUCAUCGCCAACUGCGUGUUUCUCGAGGGGGCCUUGACGAAGCUGGGGAGUGAACAAGAGGGUCCCUUCUUCGGCGGCGCGAGCUUCUCCUUCUUAGAUGUGAUGCUCGCUCCCUACGCCCCCGGGGUUGUGGGAGUGAUGGGCUUGAAGCAUGCCAGCGAGGAGCAGUGCCCGCGUCUCCACAAGUUCUUCGAGGCCGUGUCCGAGCAUCCCGCUGCCAAGGGCGCACUGCCCCCGGUCGAGAAGCUCAAGGAAUUAAUCCGAAAUAAGUAGAAACCUUUGCAUGAAUAACACUUUUCCAGCCAUAUCUUGAUUGAGCAUAUUGAUAGCUAAAACAUUGAUCAGAUAACAUAAUGACAAUGUCACUACUGUUUGGAUUGAUCGCAUUCUAGAAUUCUACUGUUCUCUCGAGACCUCAUUUUCCAAUCCAUUCCGGAUCCAUGGAAGGCGUGACGCUGCUCAGCUCCCGGGUGAGCCACUUUUCUCUGCGAGUAAAGAUUGCAUUGCUACUCAAAGGCAUCGAGCACGAUGAUCUCCCCCAGGAGGGCCAGCUCCUGCUCGAAUCCAAUCCAAUCCACAAGAAGGUCCCGGUUCUCAUCCACAAUGGGAAGCCCAUUGUGGAAUCGGUCAUUAUUGUUCAGUUCAGUACAUCGACGAGGUCUAACGCGGAGAAUCUCCACUGCUGCCUCCGGACGCUCUCCUCCGCGCAGAGUAUCGCUUCUGGACGGAUUUCAUCGACAAGAAGCUUCUGGAUUGCUUGAUGCGAUUCAUGCGUGGAGACGCCAAGAACGAGGAGUUUAUCGAGAACUGCGAGCUUCUCGAGGGAGCAUUCACGAAGCUGGGCAAUGAGGAAGAAGGCCCAUUCUUUGGCGGAGUGAGAAUGUCGUUCUUGGAUGUGAUGCUCGCCCCCUACGCGGUGUGGAUCCCAGGGAUUGCGGGCGUGAUGGGCUUGAAGCCCGCGAGCCAGGAGCAGUGCCCGCGUCUCCACAACUUCUUCCAGGCCGUGCUCGCGCAUCCCGCUGCCAAGCUCGCGCUGCCCACAGUCGAGGCGCUCAAAGAGUUUCUCGUGGCUCGCUCCGCGGUGUACAGAGGAAAGUGAUAGAGAGAAAAAAGAAUAUGCUUAAUUUUA